Molecule: ribosomal RNA, 241 nt
Filed under: uncultured bacterium
Lineage: Bacteria
Description: partial 16S ribosomal RNA
Rfam family: Bacterial small subunit ribosomal RNA
Source: RNAcentral
AGCGGCGGACGGGGGAGUAACGCGUGGGUAACCGUGCCUCAUACAGGGGAGUAACAGUUGGAAACGACUGCUAAUACCGCAUAAGCGCACAGUACCGCAUGGUACCGUGUGAAAAACUCCGGUGGUAUGAGAUGGACCCGCGUCUGAUUAGCUAGUUGGUGGGGUAACGGCCUACCAAGGCGACGAUCAGUAGCCGACCUGAGAGGGUGACCGGCCACAUUGGGACUGAGACACGGCCCAA